AGAAGUGCAACUUUGUAACUUCACUUUAGCCUCUGAUUGCGGGCCACCACUUCAUUUACAUGGGUGCGUUUUGUUCAAUUCUUUGUUCAAAACCCCAAGAAUGUGGACACUUGCAGUCAAGACCCUCUACCGGUUUGGUGAGCCAGAGACCAUCAAGCUUCAGAUGAUCAUGUGACAGGGUUUCCAGCCAGUUCCAGGUGAAGACACCACCCCUGGCCAUCAAGAAGUCACCCUGUCUCCACUAGACAGAGUAGGGUGAGAGUUCUGUGAUCUCCAACCGGUAGUGAUUACGCCCCAAGUCAGCAUAAAGAAGUUACGGAAGUAAAACCAUCAGUCCCUCUGUCUCUCAUAAAGAUUUAUGGGGAUCACGUUUCUCAGAGGGGAGAUGAAUAGGGUCUGGAGGCAGGGAACCGAAGGCAGUUUCACACUAACUUCUUAGAACUAAAUUGAAAGGAAAACCCUAAUUUUCCAUGCCUAAGUAACAAAAGGACCAGAGGCUACUCCCUUUGCAAACCCCCACCUUUUCUGUGUGGCAUAUGGGAAAUUGAAAGUACCUCUGAUUGAUUGUUUUCUGCAACCAAUCAGAUGUUUGCAUUGGAGUGUAACUUUGUAAUUUCACUUCAGUCUCUGACUGGUUGCUGCAGUCUGGAAAUUCUGCAGGCCAAGUCUUCGUUUGCAUAGAAGUGCAACUUUGUAACUUCAUCUUAGCCUCUGAUUGGUUGCUUUCUGCAACCAAUCAGAUGUUUGCAUAGGCGUGUGACCUUUGUAACUUCACUUCAGCUUCUGAUUGGUUUCUUUCCACAACCAAUCAGACUGAUUGUGGGCCACCACUUCCUUUACAUGAGGUGAACACCAAGUGGCCAAUGGAAAACCUCAAGGGGGUAUUCGGAUCUGAGAAGAUUCUGUAUCUGGGGCCCUUGAGCUGCUGCUCUGCCCACUCGCACACUGUGGAGUGUAAUUUCACUUUGAAUAAAUCUCUGCUUUUGUUGCUU
RNAcentral lists this long non-coding RNA (992 nucleotides) under Pongo abelii (Sumatran orangutan). RNAcentral describes it as "lincRNA". The record is from RNAcentral. Lineage: Eukaryota; Metazoa; Chordata; Mammalia; Primates; Hominidae.